Molecule: ribosomal RNA, 374 nt
Filed under: uncultured bacterium
Lineage: Bacteria
Description: bacterial SSU rRNA
Rfam family: Bacterial small subunit ribosomal RNA
Source: RNAcentral
ACGUAGGGUGCAAGCGUUAUCCGGAAUUAUUGGGCGUAAAGAGCUCGUAGGCGGUUUGUCACGUCUGCUGUGAAAACUGGAGGCUCAACCUCCAGCCUGCAGUGGGUACGGGCAGACUAGAGUGCGGUAGGGGAGAUUGGAAUUCCUGGUGUAGCGGUGGAAUGCGCAGAUAUCAGGAGGAACACCGAUGGCGAAGGCAGAUCUCUGGGCCGUAACUGACGCUGAGGAGCGAAAGCAUGGGGAGCGAACAGGAUUAGAUACCCUGGUAGUCCAUGCCGUAAACGUUGGGAACUAGAUGUAGGGGCCAUUCCACGGCUUCUGUGUCGCAGCUAACGCAUUAAGUUCCCCGCCUGGGGAGUACGGCCGCAAGGCUA